Molecule: ribosomal RNA, 783 nt
Filed under: Flavobacteriales bacterium 16-05PB
Lineage: Bacteria; Pseudomonadati; Bacteroidota; Flavobacteriia; Flavobacteriales
Description: bacterial SSU rRNA
Rfam family: Bacterial small subunit ribosomal RNA
Source: RNAcentral
GUGUGCAACCUACCUUUAUCUGGGGGAUAGCCUUUCGAAAGGAAGAUUAAUACCCCAUAAUAUAUUGAGUGGCAUCACUUAAUAUUGAAAACUCCGGUGGAUAGAGAUGGGCACGCGCAAGAUUAGAUAGUUGGUGAGGUAACGGCUCACCAAGUCAAUGAUCUUUAGGGGGCCUGAGAGGGUGAUCCCCCACACUGGUACUGAGACACGGACCAGACUCCUACGGGAGGCAGCAGUGAGGAAUAUUGGACAAUGGGUGAGAGCCUGAUCCAGCCAUCCCGCGUGAAGGAUGACGGCCCUACGGGUUGUAAACUUCUUUUAUAUAGGAAUAAACCUAGAUACGUGUAUCUAGCUGAAGGUACUAUAUGAAUAAGCACCGGCUAACUCCGUGCCAGCAGCCGCGGUAAUACGGAGGGUGCGAGCGUUAUCCGGAUUUAUUGGGUUUAAAGGGUCCGUAGGCGGACCUGUAAGUCAGUGGUGAAAUCUCAUAGCUUAACUAUGAAACUGCCAUUGAUACUGCAGGUCUUGAGUGAAUUUGAGGUAGCUGGAAUAAGUAGUGUAGCGGUGAAAUGCAUAGAUAUUACUUAGAACACCAAUUGCGAAGGCAGGUUACCAAGAUUCAACUGACGCUGAGGGACGAAAGCGUGGGGAGCGAACAGGAUUAGAUACCCUGGUAGUCCACGCUGUAAACGAUGCUAACUCGUUUUUGGGCUUUCGGGCUCAGAGACCAAGCGAAAGUGAUAAGUUAGCCACCUGGGGAGUACGUUCGCAAGAAUGAAACUC